Molecule: long non-coding RNA, 1742 nt
Organism: Odocoileus virginianus texanus
Lineage: Eukaryota; Metazoa; Chordata; Mammalia; Artiodactyla; Cervidae
Source: RefSeq, a predicted model, not a curated record
CUUGACUCUAAGUUGCUAUAAAUAUCAGACAUUCUGUCAGCAGCUCAGGUUUCCUGAACCAAUAUCACUGGUCCCUCUGCUUUGAGCUGUGUCUGUUAGAGGCGGUGGCGUGGUAGAAAAAGCGAAGUGGAAAAUACAGGCAAGUGGUUUCAGUCUCUGAGCUCCACUUCUGAUCUGUGAAAGAAACCGGCCAUGUGCUGACCUCCGUCUGCGGUGAGGAUUCAGUGAGCUGUCAUGCUUCUGAGCUCUGCCGUGGCCGCGAGAACGCGCCUGGUUUAGCCGACUGGAGGAUGAGAGACGUGUGGAGAGCAAGUCCCUGCAGUGGUCCCUGGAGCCCAGCCUAAAUCACUCAAUGGCAGCCAAACUCUAGGUAUGUUAGUGAGUCCAGCCAGGAUCAGCAGAACCACCUAGCCAACUAUCCCAGAUGCGUGAGCAAUAAAUGCUGAUUACUGAAUACCGUUGAGGUUUUCUUGUUAUUUGUUUCACAGCGUUGUUGUGGCAAGAGAUACCUGAUAGCGUGAGUAUAUGGGAAAAGAGCAGGUCUUGGGAACUGGUUAGGCCUCAGUUUGAGUUCCAGCUGUGAUGUUUGGAGGGUGUUCCUUUUCGAGAUUAAAUUUCUUUCUCUUUAAGAUGAGGUAGUAAUUCUUCCCUCAUAGGGUGGCUAGAAAGAUUAAACACAAGGCAAAAGAAAGAAAACCUUUGGGACCCAGUAUAAAUUGUAGAUGAUGUCCAAAAGAUCAUGGCUUCUCCCAGCAAACCUUCAGAACGAACAACUAUGGGACCCAGAUCAAGGUCUGUCCAAUGUGAGGCUGAUACCCACCACAUCAACUCAAAGACAAUAAUGAAGACCGGAAGGGACUGAUUCUAUCCUUACACUGAGAUGCAGCUUCCUUGAAUCUGCCAUUGUCAUGUAUUGAGCAAGAUGGGCCUUAAAAAGAUGAUUGCUUAAAUUGAAGGGGCUGAAGAAGAAAAGCAAAGUCCAAGAUUUUCCUCUGAGCCCGUGGUUUAGCCAAACAGAUGGCAGUGAACUGGGGGAGGGCUGUUGCUUUUGCCCUGGGUGUGGGUUUGGUUCAGAUCAAGGAACUCAAGGCACCAACGGGGACAGUGCCUGGCCAGGUAACGUCUGCUCUGACUCUGUUGUUUGCCCUCCUGCAUGUGUGUGCAUUUUUAAUGACAGAUCAUUCAGGAAAUGUGAAUAUUUCUCUAGGGGGUUUUGCUUUGUCACUUGGCCUUGUUUUUUGGGUCCUUUCCCUUCCUUUGAAGCCAUUGUUUGACAUGAGAAACAUAUUCAGGUAAGCUUAUGGCUGAUUACCCCAAGGGGGAAGGAAAAAGAAAACCAACCCAGCUAAAAUACAGAGCAAUUAACUCAAUAAACUAAGAAGUUAUGAAAGGUAUGAGAUGCUUUUUGAAAAUUAAACAUAAAAUUCAUAUACAUUUAAGGAAGAGGUUUCUUCCCGAGGAAUUGAGAGCUUUCCUACAAAAUCCAGCAGCUUUCUGCCCCAGAUAGCUCACUCCUCUUUAGCUUUUCUGACGGUGGCAAUGGGGUGACAAGUUACAUGCACCUGUUUUUAACAGGUGACAACAGUUACAUGACUCUACUUCUAAAGCAUGGUGUGACCUGGGAUGAAUCACGUGGCAUUUCUGAGCUUCAGCGUCUCACCAGCAAAAUGACAUUUUGAUAAAAUUUCUUUACAAGAAAAUAAAUUUAUUGUUUUUUAAAGCAAUGAUUUAUCCUUUUUUAA